RNAcentral lists this unclassified non-coding RNA (335 nucleotides) under soil metagenome. RNAcentral describes it as "partial contains 5.8S ribosomal RNA, internal transcribed spacer 2, and large subunit ribosomal RNA". The stretch from base 1 to 120 matches the Rfam family "5.8S ribosomal RNA", at positions 35 to 154 of the family's 154-position model. The record is from RNAcentral.
GAUGAAGAACGUAGCGAAAUGCGAUAAGUAAUGUGAAUUGCAGAAUUCAGUGAAUCAUCGAAUCUUUGAACGCACAUUGCGCCCGCCAGUAUUCUGGCGGGCAUGCCUGUUCGAGCGUCAUUUCAACCAUCAAGCCCCCGGCUUGUGUUGGGGACCUGCGGCUGCCGCAGGCCCUGAAAACCAGUGGCGGGCUCGCUAGUCACUCCGAGCGUAGUAAUACAUCUCGCUUAGGGCGUGCUGCGGGUUCCGGCCGUUAAAAAGCCUUAUUUACCCAAGGUUGACCUCGGAUCAGGUAGGAAGACCCGCUGAACUUAAGCAUAUCAAUAAGCGGAGGA